This 1282-nucleotide long non-coding RNA is filed under the name Echeneis naucrates (live sharksucker). RNAcentral's name for it is "lncRNA (ENSENLG00000000152.1)". The record is from RNAcentral. Lineage: Eukaryota; Metazoa; Chordata; Actinopteri; Carangiformes; Echeneidae.
GUGUUGCCGCGAAGAAUAAAAGCAAUCGACAGUAAUGGCGACUUCAGGAGAAGCGGCUCAGUCAGGCGUCAUUGGACCAGAUGAGCAUCCACCAGCAGAGGACGCAGCUGGGGAGGAGUCUGAUAGGACACCCGAGAGGAGACAUGUUGACACCUUGCUGGACAUCAGUGAGGAAGACUUCCUGAAAGAGCAGGAGCCACAUGAAUAUCACUGUUACUCUGGUUUGGAAGAAGCUGUUCGAGGUUGGGGCAGAGUUGCUCCAAUGAGCUGCAUACUAUUGACUCAGAAGAGAUGCAGGAAGCCAAAGCUUAAAGAGGCUGGGAACAUGGCCCCAACAUCUGUAGACCAAACGUCACUUACUGCAGACAGCUCUGCCAGCUGUGAAUCGCAUGCAGGUUACCAGGACUACAUUAAGAAAACCAUGACCGUAAACCAUCAGGUGGGACCUACAAGAAGCGCUGCUGCGACAGCCCUGCUGCCAGAUGCCUCAGAUUUGCCUGUUCUCUGUGCCAUGCAGAAAACCAUGUCUCAUCAUUUACUCGAAAAUAUAAAGGAAGAAUCACUUAAUGAGAUGCCUGUGCAGCCUCAUAAUCUUUCUUUGAAAUACUCCGUGUCAGAAAAUAGACUCACAAAGCCUCCAAGAGCCACCCAAAGACAUAAUAACACAGUGGUCCCCAUUAAAAACUUCACAUUUUUACCACCAAUCAAGUCACCACACCUGAAUCCCACAGCCAGUGGGCAACUCUACAGUGGGAAGAAAGCUUCAGAAGGGGAAACCUCAAAGGAAAACAGUUUCAUGUCUGUCAAGAGUGAGACAACAGGAACAAGAGUGGACUCUACCGUUCAUACAGAGAUCCGUAGUAACUCCGUAGCCCUGAACUCCAAAUACUGCAUAUGCCAGCAUAAUCCCCAUUUGUUUUCUGCUGUAACUGUCAAUAUUCCAAAGAUGUAUAAAUUACCGUGUUCUCCAAAACCUGACACAGUACAACACAUGAGACACUCACAGGGCAAGAACCUCAGAAAGAUAGUCAACAUCAGCCCUGCAGCAUCUGCACAUACCCGCAUGCACCCCAGCUGCCUGUUUUCUGAAGGAUCAACACUUCAUAGUCAUGCCGUAUGAGACCUGUGGAAUGAAACAAUGAAACAUGAUUUAUGAAAUUGUUUUUAAAGUUUGUUACCAAGUAAAACCUGUUUAAUUGCUUCAUUUUGCUUAUUUUCCACCAAAAGUCAGUUGGAAUUCAAAAUUCAAUGUCUGAGACUUUUUCAUAAAAGUAACUCAUUA